UACGUAGGGUGCGAGCGUUGUCCGGAAUUAUUGGGCGUAAAGAGCUUGUAGGCGGUUUGUCGCGUCUGCUGUGAAAAUCCGGGGCUCAACCCCGGACUUGCAGUGGGUACGGGCAGACUGGAGUGUGGUAGGGGGAGACUGGAAUUCCUGGUGUAGCGGUGGAAUGCGCAGAUAUCAGGAGGAACACCGAUGGCGAAGGCAGGUCUCUGGGCCACUACUGACGCUGAGGCGCGAAAAGCUAGGGGGGAGCAAAACAGG
Molecule: ribosomal RNA, 258 nt
Filed under: uncultured bacterium
Lineage: Bacteria
Description: partial 16S ribosomal RNA
Rfam family: Bacterial small subunit ribosomal RNA
Source: RNAcentral